RNAcentral lists this ribosomal RNA (365 nucleotides) under uncultured fungus. Its description in RNAcentral is "eukaryotic LSU rRNA". It matches the Rfam family "Eukaryotic large subunit ribosomal RNA", at positions 40 to 398 of the family's 3401-position model. Lineage: Eukaryota; Fungi. The record is from RNAcentral.
AUAUCAAUAAGCGGAGGAAAAGAAACUAACAAGGAUUCCCCUAGUAACUGCGAGUGAAGAGGGAAGAGCUCAAAUUUUAAAUCUGGCAGUCUUUGACUGUCCGAAUUGUAAAUUGGAGAAGUGUCAUCCGCGCUGGCCUGUGUAAAAGUCUCUUGGAAAAGAGCAUCAUAGAGGGUGACAAUCCCGUCUUUGGCACAGACUCCCAGUGCUUUGUGAUGCGCUCUCAAUGAGUCGAGUUGUUUGGGAAUGCAGCUCCAAAUGGGUGGUAAAUUCCAUCUAAAGCUAAAUAUUGGCGAGAGACCGAUAGCGCACAAGUACCGUGAGGGAAAGAUGAAAAGAACUUUGAAAAGAGAGUUAAACAGUAU